UCUCUCUCUGUCAUAUAUUUAUAGUUUUCUAAAAAAAGAAAAAUGCAGUGCUUCUCCAAAAAAAAAAUACCAAAUUCAUUGCAUAUGCUUUCCCCCAUUUUUGAUACAUGAAAGAUCAGUCUGAAGGCAACUUCUGGACAUGAGAUAGAUAUUCUACAUUGGUGAAAGCUUCUACAUGGCACUCCUAUGCUAGUGAGGAUAAAGUAGUCGACAAUGUGACAUGAAAUCUGCACCAGUGUUUGAUGUGGCUUCUUUUCUUAGGAGGAGAAGGAAAAGAUAAUGUUCUACAUAUUUGUUUGGUGAAAUAUAAAUAGCAAAUAAGAGAGAAAUAUUUGAAAUGUGUGUGUUUUCCUUUUUAAUCAAAACUACAGAUUGUAUGUGUUUGUGUUUCUUGGAAAGAACUGAGUUCCACUUUGGCAAUACAAGCUAUAUCUGAAUCCUGACAAAUUUGAGUGUUCUAACACCUUUUGCCUUUUCCAAUGCUCUUCUUUCUCGGAAAGAAUUGAGUUUGAUUUUGGCAACAUAAGCUAUACCAAAUAUUGGUUCCCUCUAAUCCAAAUUCAUUUCAUUUUAUACAUAGAAAACAUUGUCACCUUUUGUCAUUAGAUGAUUUUUGUAGGUUGUUUGGCUUAUUUCAACAAGCACAGAGGAAAGAAGAAAAACAUAAAUUUAUGCAGUUAUGAAUAAUUUCCCAUUUCAAAAGUAAAAAUAUAUAUAUAAAUUUUCGUUUGAGCAUCAAAAUGAUUUAUUUAUAAAUUUUUAAGUGUGAUUUUGCUAGAAAAUAUACUAAUUUUGAAUAUUUCCCGAUUGGUACUGCCAUAUCUGUUUUUUAAAAUAGUGUUUUUAUUUUUUUAAAUAUCAAAGUUAUCCUUUAAUGUUUUUUUUCAUCUAUUACCAUAUUUUUAGUUUAUUAUAGUGUUUUGACCAUCAUUAAAAAAAAACAUUGUAAAACUUACUUGAAAGCACCAUAAAUUAUUUAAGUAAACUAUCAACAUCAAUCAAACUAAUUAUAAGCUUAAAAAUAUAAUAUUAUAACGGUUUGUAAACAAUGAUAAUCAAAGAAAUAUGAUAUAAUAUCGCAUACAAUGUUUUCAGUAUAUUAAUAAAAUACUAUAAAUGUUAUUAAAAAUAUUAUAUACGAACUAAAUAAAAACAUUAUAAUUGAUAAAAAAACAAAAAAGGACACAAUUUUGAUGAAAUUUAUAAAAUAUUUUAAAAUUUAAAAAUAUUAUUAAAAUUUUUGAUAACAUAUAAAAUAUAAAAUAUUUUCUAAGAAAUUGAGUGAUUUCUGAUGUUACCUUAUGUGUGAGCGUAAAAGAAGAUUAAAUCAUUGACACGUGUCUGUGUUACAAAGCGAUGUUUUUUAUUAAGAUAAUGUCUCAUAAUGAUGUAACUUUAGUCCGUAAGAUUUACUUAUGAAGAUCGAAUUAUUGUCGUGUCUGAGUGCUACGAAACGACGCUUUUCGAGAGAGAUCACAUCUCAUGAAGUAAACUUAUGAGAUCGCUCAUAUUAUAAUAAUAAAGAUAAUAAUGUACAAAUAUAGUAAUUUUAUAUUUUUAAUCAUGAUAAAAAUGAAGAGACACAAGUCCACCCACAUAUGUAUAUGUAUUGAUUAGGGAGCUUUACCACCACCAUGCAACACAAGGAUGCAUGGUGGAGAGUGCAUGAGGAGCUAGAGAGCUUCCUACACCCCCUACCGUUGCCAUCGUCAUUCAUUUCUCAAUCCUGUCCUAUAUUUUCGUAAUCUGAUUAUAAUAUCAAUUCUCAAUCUCUUUUAACCUAUUACAAUAUUUAUAGUGGUCAUCUAAAGGACAAAUAAAGAGGAUAGUUUGAGUGUUCUAACACUCUUUGCCUUUUCCAAUGCUCUUUCUUUCUCGGAAAGAAUUGAGUUUGAUUUUGGCAACAUAAGCUAUGCCAAAUAUUGGUUCAAAAACCUCUAAACCAAAUUAAUUUCAUUUCCUACAUAGAAAACAUUGUCACCUUUUGUCAUUAGAUGAUUUUUGUAGGUUGUUUGGCUUAUUUCAACAAGCGCAGAGGAAAGAAGAAAACAUAAAUUUAUACAGCUACGAAUAAUUUUCCAUUUCAAAAUUAUAUAUAUAUAUAUAUAUAUAUAUAUACACAUUUUCUCUUGCACAUAAAAAUUAAUUAUUUAUAAUUUUUUAAGGGUAAUUUUAUUAGAAAACAUCCUCAUCUUAAUUUUUUUUUCAAAUAGUAUUUUUUAAAUUAUAAAAUAUCGAAAUUACUACUUAAUAAUAAUUUUUAUCUAUUAUAUUGUGUUGGUCUAUUACCAUAUUUUUAGCUUGUUAUAGUCUUUUAACCAUCACAAAAAAAAACUGCAAAAAAACACUAUAAAUGAUCUAAACAUACUACUACCAUCAAUCAAACUAAUUAUAAACUUAAAAUAUGAUAUUAUAAUGAUAUAUAGGUAAUGAUAAUCAAACAAAAAAUAUGAUAUGACAUCAUUUACAAUGUUUUCAAUAUAUUAAUAAAAUAAUACAAACAUUAUUAAAAAAAUAUUAUAUAUGAACCAAAUGAAAACACUAUAAUAGAUAAAAACUAAAAAUAAAAUAGAUAAUUUUUUGAAAAAAACAUUUUAAAAAAAUUUAAUUUAAAACAUUAUUUUUUUAAAAAAAAUUAAUAAACAUAUAAAAUAUAAAAAAAAAUUUAUAGAAAAAUUGUUUAAUUUAUGACGUUACACGUAAAAGACAAUCAAAUCAUUGACACAAGUCGAUGUUACUAAGUGAUGCUUUUCAGGAUGAUAGUGUCUCGUAAGAUUUAUUCGUGAAGAUCGAAUUAUUGUUAUGUAUGAAUGUUGAGAAACUAUAAUUUUUUUUAGGGAGAUCACAUGCCACUAUGUAAACAUGCGAGAUAAUAAAGUGAUGUAGCUACACAUAAAUAUAAUAAUUUUAUUUUUAUUCACGAGAAAGAAGAAAAGACACAAGUUCACACACAAAUGAUGUAUAUGUAUUGACUAGCGAGCUUUACCACCAACAUCCAACACAAGGAUGGCACGGUGGAGAGUGCAUGAAGAGCAAGAGAAGGCCCCAUAGAUCUUUGGGGAAGAAAGGAAGUGCGCAGACAAACUAGUGGACAUAGGACAAAGGAGAUUAUUAGAUCUUCGCCAUGCAAGCUCAUCUGAGAUCUCAAGGGAACAACGAGUCCGGCCAUGAGCUGAUGGGAUCCACGUACAUCUGCCCCUCCUCCGACCACGGGCUCAUUAUGUCCAUGAGCCAGUUCAGCCUCUGGCUUCCCUCCGCUGCAUGGCCCUGGUUCACCGUGUUGAUCCUCUCCAUCGGCAGCGGCAUCAUCCCCGUGACAGUGGCCGCGGGAACCACUGGCAUGGGUGGUGGCGGAGGGGCCAUGGCCAGCCGCUUGAGGAGCUCCUCUCUCCUGUCGCUGACCUCCUUCAGCUUGGUCUCCACCGACCAGGCGAGGGCGGAGGCAUCCUCCACGUCCAGGUCGUCGAAGCUGCGGCCAUGGAACCCCUCCCACGUCAGCCAUGUCAUCUCGAUCUCCCGGUUCUCGCGCUGCUGCCUGCGGAGCUGCUCCAGAAGCUUGGCGAUCCGCUGGUGGAGGAAGGCCUCCUGGUUAACCAUCUUCCGGCUGCGCUCGAUCUCCGGCAUGCUCUUGAAUCGCGCCAUCAUCUGCACAGCCUCCUGGAGGGACGGCCACGCCACCGGCUGGUUUUCGUGCGGCGUGUACACCACCACGCACGCCUCCACGCCGCACAGGAUGCUCAGCUCCCGCACCUUCUUUAUCAGCCCCUUGCGCCGCUUCUUCAGGGUGGCGCGGCGGGUGGCGUCGUUGACGAUCCAUGCCAGCUUCACCUUGUUCCGGGCCAUAGCAGGCAAGGACCGAGCUUCGUACACCCCCUUCCGUUGCCAUCGUCAUUCAUUUAUAGGGCAGCCGAACUCGAAGGGGUGUGAACGGGCUACCAACGGGAUUCGAACGGGAUCGGAUAUCCACCUCGGUCCACAAUCACCAUUACAUAAUACGAUUGGAGAAACGUCAUUGGUGCGUUGCCAUCAGCCACGUCAAUCGUUGUCAAGAGGUGAGUAAACGAACCGCGACUCCCUGUUCCGAUGCCGGCACCCGAUCCGCACCUCUCACCCGCGAGGUCCGCUCGGCUGCGCCCCCAACAACAGCAAACAGCUGCAUCAGCGAGCACACGCCGGACAAGCGUCCAAUCGAAAACGAUAUGGGAAUCACCCAUAUCCACUGCACUUGUGACCGUCAAUGGGGAAUCCACGGGAAGGUACAGCUCAACACCCGUGCAUGCAUGUGGCGUGCCCUAACCCGCACAUCCUCUCUCUCUCGCUCUCUCUCUGUAUCUUUGCGUGUGUGCAUGUACUGCAGCGGUGCCAUAGCCGAUCAAGAUUGGAAGGGGGAAGUAUUCUGAUCAAGUUUGGAAAGGGGAAAUAUUUUGAUGUUGCGGUUGGUUGAUCUGAUUUUGAUCUCCCAACUGUUACGAAAUAUAACUGUUACGAUAUCAUCUGUCACGAACUCUCGGAGAUGAAUAAGUAAUUACAUCAACUUCAGAAAAUAAGCUACUUUCCUUUACCAAUGCCAGGUUCGUCCGAGUCACUGCGCCACAGAAGUAGGCCCCAUCAAGGUAGGGGAAUGGGUCCAAUACGGUUUUUGAUUUAAUAGGCUUCAUGGAGAGAGCCCAUUAUUAGGCCCAUGGACGGGAUCUUUCGGUGGGUCCCAUCAAAGCAGGGAAAUGAUAGCGAGGCUCAGUGUUAGGCCCAAUAAGGCCCAUGAACGGGUCGUUUUCAUCGUUCCUCCCAAACCCUUCGAUGGUCCUAAAACCCUCUUCUCGCUUCUCCUCUUGCUUCUGUCAUCAUCAUCGUCGACAUCAUCUGAUGCUUGUCGUAGGUAUGUCUGAAGAUCUUGAUCCUACUCUCAUCUUGAUCUUACUCUCAUCAAAGCAGGGAAAUGAUAGCGAGGCUCAGUAUUGGGCGCAAUAAGGCCCAUGAAUGGGUCCUUUUCAUCCUUCCUCCCAAACCCUUCCAUGGUCCUAAAACCCAAACCGGCGUCUUCUCGCUUCUCCUCUUGCUUCUGUCAUCAUCAUCGUCAACAUCAUCUGAUGCUUGUCGUAGGUAUGUCUGAAGAACUUGAUCUCACUCUCAUCUUGGUUUCAGACAUGUAGUAUCCGGAACUGGGUCUCUGUGUUCUGCUUGGUGGGCUGCACUGAUCGUUUGAUACGCAGUUAGCUUUCGUGUGAUUGAAAUGAUGAGAUUAUAGAUUUUUUUAAACUACCAUUUUUUCGUUCUUUUUUUUUCUUUUUUCUUAUAUGUUUAUAAUCGUUUAAGCAGCGUUCUUUGUAUACUCAUCAUCGAGCUGUCCAUAAGGGGGGAAAAGUAGACUUUUUUUUUUUUUUUGCAGAAACCUUGAUUAGUUUUCCUUCACUGGUUGCUUUUACAAAGCCAAGAUGGCACUUUUUCUUUUUCUUAUAUCUCAUUGCAAUCAUCUACAUGAUCAUUUUGGUGCCCGGUUAUCUUUCCAGAGAUAUUAACCGAAAAAAGGUUCUAAUCUGGUUAGGGUAGUUCAAUGGACUAGCCUGCCAUGAGCAAUGCUUUCAUAGUUUUAUAUAGUCUAUUUCCUUUAACCUUCUUAAAAUUUCAGAAGAGCAGACUUGCCGAGGAGCAGAGUGUCAGGCCCAACAAGUUAGAGAAAGUAGAAGUUUUAUGUGAAUGACUCUAAUCAAGGGCAGGGCAAAAGAGCUUUGUGGUAAAAAUUUGUGGCUAAGGCAAAAAAUGUCAAUUUUGAUCGAUUGGAAUCUAAUGCUUCACAUGGUAAAUCUAGGAUAUUCUACUUGAAUUCUUGAACACAAAGUUUUUGCUGUCUUUCAUUUUAGGUGACGGAGAAUUUUCAUCCUCAUCUGAUAGGUCCUUAACGAAUGCCCAGCAAAAAAUUAAUAAGAAUUCACUCUAGUCCUAUGCAUAUAAUUCCUAUGCAUAUAAUUUUUGACGAUGAUAUUGUGGGUGAAAAUUGAUUGGCUGAAUUUGCAGCGCAAGUUUCAUGUAGACUAAGUCAACUAUUGAGCUUGUAUACAUUUAGCAUCCCCCAAUGUGAAUCUCUAACUACAUGUAUAUACUUGAGGUUGUCCUGAGCAAAACUAUCUCCUAUUCCUGUCACUUUGGAUCUGGACUUAUUGAUUGCUCAUUCAAAUCAUAAUUUAGUGCUCAUCUUUGUAUGAAAAAAAUUACGAGUUCAGAGGACUCUCCUUUGACAUAUGUGGAACAAAGAUAGAGAUACAGAUACUGGCAUGACAUGAUAGAAAUAUGCUGAUGUGUUAAGUCCUUAAUUUAGGCUGUCAUACGUCAGAAAUUUGGCAAGAGAUCUUUUUACAUAUAUGGUACCAUAUAUGUCAAAUUUUGAAAUUUAUUUAUGAUGUUAACAUAGACAGUUAUACAUCACAAUGAAUAACUAGCAUCCUAAUCCAAUCACAAAAAAAAAAAGAGAAAAUUAUUCUAGGUCAUGGUUAAAAAUAUUGGAAUUCAUAUCCAUACUGAUCCCAGCUUGGAUCGGCACAUACUGUUACCACUUGGUACAACACAAUUAUAAAAUCGAAUCUAUGUUAUGUUGAUACACUAUUGUUAAGAAGUAAUAUAUGAAGCUAAUUUUUUUUAAAAUUUUCAUUAAUUAAUAUCUAAUGCGUAAGAGCAACAGAUAGACAAUCUAUAUAAUCAUAUAUUAAUUUCUAUAUAUAUACAUUUGUGUAUACAUAUUAAAUCAUCAAUCAAACAGAAGUUCUCCCAAGAAGUGUCCAUAAAAAGAAUCCUGCAACUAUUUAAUUGCUGUAUACAUUCUUGAUGUUAAUAUUGAACUGUCCAUGUUCAUGGUUGGUCAUCCAUACCACUUGCUGAUGUGAUGAUACUUGAACCUGAAAAGUAAAAGGUUGUUUGUAAUCAGGUGUUAUUCUACGUCCACGUAAAGUGAUGCAUGGUGAUGUAUAUAGGAUGCAUAAUUUCCUCUUGUCCUACUGUUAUACCAUGUGAUGGUUACAGCAAUAACAAGUGUAUACGCUGCAUAUGGACCACAAAAAGUGAUUUCUUUCAGAACAAUGUAUCUGUUCAUUUUUUCCUCAUAGGAAGGUUGUUGGAAGAUAAGCUCUUCCAGUGAUCACCAUAUGUGACUGGUAAAGGAUGCUAUGACAGUGAUGCAGUGACACAUUUUUACGCUUUCUCAAUUGACCAUCUCUAUGAUAUUGUGUCCUCGCCAUGUAAUUAGAGUUCUUUGUAGACCUUAGAUUUAUGCGACUUUUACUAAUCCUCUCUACAGUCAUAAUUAUUUCUUAAUGUUAAAAUGGAGCAAUAAAUUUUUUCAGAAUAUGAUAUUUCAAGGAGUUCUUUCCUUUGAGAGUUGAGGGUAUGUGAAAUUUUAUUGGAAUCUAGUCCAGUCUUCCUCUUUUGUUCUUGUAGUGAAACAGGAUUGAUCAAUCAAAAUUUGUUUUUCUUUGAGAUAUGUUGAGUUUUAAAUAUGUGAUCCAUAUUUAGCCUAAUCCAUUUAUCUUCUUUAUUUUAAAAUCUUGAUGACUUUGAACCUGAAAAAUCGUGAUCCUUCUAAGAAACACUAAACUCGAUAAGUUCUACACUGAAUCAACUCGUUAUCUUUAUUUUUAAUGUCCUUGACAUGUCUGAAUUGACAUGGGCAACAACCAAGCAACAAUUGUUGAUCGAUUGAUGUGAGUUUGAUAAUAUGUUGAAGUUCUGUUUGAUCCGCAAAUUGGUCUCUCUUGGACUAUAUUUGUGCUGUCAAGCAUCCUUCUGUGAUGAUGUUAGAUGCUAACUUAAAAUGUUGACAUCAGAAAAUUGUUCUCAUCUGACAACACAAUUUUCAAGGUGAUGUGUUCAGGUAUUUCAUAAAUGAAUGUGAGAGGUUUUUGGAGAACUAUUCUACUAACAAUUCUCUCUAGAACAUUGGAUAUCUUCAAGAACUUCGUUUUAUAAGCAAACAAAUCACUGAACUCAUCACAUGUUCAUAUUUAGGAACAGAUCAGUAAAUCAAUGAUCUCUUCUAUUCUGCUAAACAAUAUUUGGCAGAAAUCAAUCACACCUAGGAAUAGAUCUUGCCUGUCUCCUCUAUCAUUUAUUGAUCAUUGUUAUCUCCUCUUGGGAUCAUUGAGUUGCAGUGAACUUGGCUACACUAUCUUUGGGAAGGUAACAAUUUGAUAUCAGAAUUACAUCUGCAACGAUAACAUGGUUUUGUGGCCUCAGAUCUUCUAUUGGCUGUUGGUGAGCACACCUCUUAAAUUACAUAAACAAUUCACGAUGUUUUAUUGUCUUAAUGGAAUUCAUGCAUAUGUUGGUGAAGCCAUUAAUUCAUCGAUCAUUUUCAAAAUGUUUCAUUUAAUGACAGGUACUGUUUGUUGCCUCGCUGCAUUAUAUCAUUCUUCAGCUUUUUGAAGACGUCAAUUCAGAGAACAGUUCAAGAUUGGUUGGUCCUACUAAUGAGGUAUCAGAUUCAAAGAAUUCCCCUUUUAUUUAAAACAGUGGGGACAACGUUUUGUCAAUCUAGUUAUGUCUUGGACUUGUUACUUGUUUUUUCUCUCGUCCUCAACCAGCUCCUUUUUCUCCCUGGAUUUCAACUACUUGGACGUGUGCCAUAAAUGUUUGUCCAUUGUCAAUAUUAACUUUUGGGUUGUCUUCUUUCUCCAAAAACUUUUGUCUUGGUAGUGACAAGUGGUAGUGCUGACAAUGCUUAGGGCCUACAGGCUCCAUAAUGGUGGAAGAUUCAGCAAUAGCCAGUGAUGAUUUAGGGGUCGGCAAAAAUUUAUGAUCGGCACAACUUUUUGCCGACCCCUAAAUCAGAUCAAUUCCUAUUCCUAUAUGCAAAAAGUAAACUAGAGAUCCCUUAUUCCUUUAGAAGUUCCUGGUUAUAAAGUUUGGCAACACUGUAAUUUUAGCAUGGUUUAUUGUCAUGCAUAAAUUUUUUUCGUUGAUGCUAUGAUACAUAGGUUAAAAUCAUAAACUGUAGUACUUAUAUGUUGAUGAACAACUGUAGUUUCACUAGAUUGGUAACAUCACUCUUAUAGAAGAGUGUUAUAGCAAAUUCAGUUAAGACUAAAAAAAUGGAAGAUUAUGGACCAUCUCGUAAUUGCCUUAAUAGGGCUUCAUUGACUUCUUUCAGAUGAUAAAUUCUUGUUUUCACUUCACCUUUAUUCACCAGCAUCUUUUAACUGCUGAUAUGUUUAAUUUGAACUGUUUGUUUCCUCAUCUUUAUUUCCACUUGACCUAAUAUUUUGUACGAUUCCAUUAGAUGACAUUUGGGUGGAAACAAGUGAGACACGUCGUGGAAGAAUUAACUUCUAACUACGGUGGCCAAUCUUCCUUCUUCAAAUUGUAGCACUUAAAUGAUGCAUUGUUUGAUGACAGGCUCCACUUUCAUAACAAAGAGUGAGAACAUGAUUACUUGGGUGUUGUGGGGACGAAGUGGCAUUCUCAAUCCAACAAGGAUCCUAUAAUUAGUGGAUUCAUCACUUUGAACUUUUUCUUUCUUCCUUAUUCUUGCUAAGGUCAAAUGCCAUCAUGUCUUGGGCCUCCCACACCUUCCUUUUCUGAACGAAAAGCUAUAGCACUUUGCUCUCUGUGCCACUUAAGGACCCAACUAAAGUGUAGCCUGUGGAUUAGUAUGAAUCGAAGAGUGGAAAUCCUUUUGAGCUAGAUGUCUAUAAAUGACCCACUGUGGUUCCUUCUUCAUAGGAAGAAGGGGGAGUACGACAACUGAGUAACGGCCUAAUUAAAAUUGUUGCAUGCCAUGUUCCUGUCCAUGCCUUGAGUAGGAGGGGAGGCAUAACCCUAGAAACUGGAAGAUAAGGUGCAGAGACAUAACCCUAAGAAUUGGAGAAUUAGGUAUCAUCUAUCUCUCUCUGCCAGUGCAGAUGGAUUGGACCCCAACAGCCCUUAAGUUAAUAUUGGCACCCGAUGAUCAAAUUGUGCUAAUAAUGUAAAAAGAAAGAGAGGAGAGGAAUACUACAAAACUUUUACAUGUUUUGGCUCACAUGCUUAUGUUGACAAGCAAAUUCAGAUUGAAGUUUGCUGCAUCAAAUUUAAAUAUGGGGGCAUGCUGGAGUACAAAGAGAACCCCUAACUUGAAAAAGGGCAUGGAAUCUCAAAUCAUGAAGACACCGGCAUGGCAGGUAUCUUAUUAUAUUAUGUUUUGGUGUGCAUUCUUUGUUUAAAAUUAUAAGAUUGUAUGUAUACAAUAUCCUUCAUCAAACUUUGUGUUGGCAGGAACCUCACGCAUCGUACCAUUUAUCUCUUAUGCGGUCGAGUUGAAUUGAAGAGACACCUAAACCAGUCCAAGACCUGUGAGCACUCUUCCUCGACUCAUUUUGCAGUCUCUGAGAAACGUCCACCGGCGAUGGGAGUCCCUUUUGGUGGUAUUCCCCACAACACAUACUUCUUGUAACGAGCAUGUGGACCACCCCUUGACCUGGUUCAUUGAUUCAGGGAUGCUCUUCUUCUUCUUCUUCCUCCUCCUCCUCCUCCUCCUCAAGGACGAGAUAAGGUUUGGGGCUCACGGCAAUCUGUGAUGGUCACAACAGGACUACAAUAGCUUUGCCUCAUUGCUCCACACCAGUAGACGCCAAGAUGCUACCUCACUAUCAUCCAGCUGUAGCCAAGCAGACGUCUCAUGACCAUCCAUAUCCAAUGAUCCUUUUGCACAGUAAAUUCAAUCACCAGCAGUGCUACGGAAUCUUCUUCUUCUUCUUCUUCCUCUUCUUAAUCAUAACUAAAUGUGUCUCCCUGAUGUUUUCUAAAAGAAAACACAUCUAAUAAUUGAUGGUUGCAAAAGAUAAGACUAGAUGCUUCUUGUACAGUUGACAAUUAGGACAUCAUGUGGCUUGCAGUGGUGAGGUGAGGCCCUGUGGAUUACAAUAUUUUGUGAAACACAAGUGUAUUAUGUUUAGCAUUUCUUUCGGAAAUGUCUGUCCUUUUCCUCAUCCCAUCUGUGCUUGGAAACAUCAGUAAAGACAAGGGCGGCUUCAUAAUGCUUGAGAGGGGGUCUCAGUUUUCUAUUUGGUGCCAUCAAGUGGAGGUGGAGGCAUAGAGAUGGAGAUGCCAUUCCAGUGCUUGCUUGUCCCCAUCCCAUGCACACAAUGCAUGGAAGAUUUUGCUUAUACAUGCCGGCUUUUGUUUACUUUGGCGUUGGUCAAAACCUCAUGGAUUUGCUAUAACAUGCGGUGCGAGUUGUGCCACGACGAGAGUCUGUGUCACGAUGUCAUGCAUAUCUUUGGAGUGUGAAAGCAAGACUCGAGAGCCAUCCUUUAUUAAAUAAAUAAUUAAAUAUCAAAUUUGGUAUUUAGUGUAUCCAUAAGAAGGAGAGGAUCCAAAGAAAAUAUAUCAUAAAUGUCAGUCUUUAUGGACGGACAAGUGUUAUUUGGCUAGAUUGUUAUGACACUUCAUAUUUUAUUAAGUUUGUAAUAUUAAGUGUUUUUUUAUGUAAAAUUUGUGAUGGUGAAUAGUUUAGUCAUAGUUUGUAUUAUCGGUCCGUACUCGAUCAUCAACUGAUGGUAUGAUAUGUACAUAACUAUAUCGUGCGUAUAUCACAUGAUACACUGAGCUGUACUAAUCUGUGUUGAUUCUUUGUCGAACCGAUACAUAUCAUUUAUACAAUCGAAUAAUAUGCUUCGAUACAUCAAAUCUUUAGUUUAGCAUCUAUAAUUUAAAUUUUUAUAGGUUGAGCAUUGUUACCACAAUCGAAUCCCUCGUUUAGAACUCAAGUGUUGUUAAUUUAAUUUUGGUCGUCAAUUUGAUGGGGUGGAGUUCUUAGAGUUAGAUAGUUUUCUUGGAUUUGAUUACGUUUGAAUUAAUCAUAUCUAAAGGGUCAUGCCCUCAUUGCGUUUACUCUGUAACUAUAGUUCCUAAUGCUCAUUUAUAUUUGCAAUAUCAAUUAUCUCAUAGUUUAUCCAUGUAAAAGUAUAUUGUCUAUUUUGUUUUGUGAUCUUGAUAGUUAUAAUUUACAUUAAAAAAACUAGUUACAAGGUGCUUUGAAUGUUUGGUUUUGGAGGACGAAUUAGACACAAGCACAUGUCUUGCCUCGUUAGGAUGAGUCAGAUGUUAUGCAAAAGAUAUUUUUGUUCUAGGCAGAUAAAUCUCACAAAAGAUAUUGUUAGACAUUUUGGAUGUUUUUGUCUUAGAGAAUGCAUUAUGUGCAAGAGACACUUCACCCGAUUAAGAUACAUUGGGUACUUCAAAUGCCUCUCUUGGCCAGAAGUAUCACAUGUAUAAGACACUUCACUUAGUUAAGCUCCAUUGAAUGCUUUGAAUGUUUUCAUCCUAAGCGAACACAUUACCUAGGCUAAAAAUACUCGAAGCGUUCGAUAUAACUUAACGAGUUGAGUUAUCUCAUAAGCGAUGCAUCAAUACAAGACAAAGGUAUCUAAACUAUCGGAAGGGCCUUAACAUAAUAAUGUAUCUCAUCUUAAGACAAAAAAAUCCAAAACAUCCAACGUAAACAUCUUCUUAUCUCUAAUGCAUAGGAGGCAUCCCUUAACUAUAUUUUGAUGUGAGAAACAGUUAUCAAGAUUCAAAAAUGGAAAACAUUAGACUCAUAUAAAUACACUUCUUCCCCAACCAACCAACUUUAUAACAUAAAUUAAUCAUGAUUUGAAUCAUAUAAAUACAUAAGAAAAAGCCUUCCUUCAUAUCAAGACCAAUAAGAUCAUUUGGAAUGAUUAUUUUUGUUGGUGUAAACAACUUCUUAGCCGUGGCCUCGGGGCCGACGCGGCUCGAUUCGGGUCCGGAUGAUGGGUCGUCGUUUCCUUCAGGAAAGGGCUCCUUGCCGACGCGCCCGGAGAGGAGUGCUUCGCCUUCGUCCCUGCACGCAGGUCGGGUCGGGAUGCUCGACCCGACCCCUCUGAUGGUUAAGUUAGACGUUGCUCGUCCCAGUCCCCCCCCCCCCCGUUUAGAAUGCAAGGAUCUUUAUAAGGGAGUUCGGUGUUACCUAAUGUGCCUGCUCGCAGGAGGUAGGAUCGUACCUUCUGAUGACGUCUGACAUCGCUGUUGGCGUGAUGUGCGGGAUUGAGUCUGAGCGGUCGUUAAUGGGCCUCAGUUGGCGUUACGACCCAUGUCAGCUACGCGCUGUCCGACAUGGGUGCCGGGCGUCAGCGGGCGUCACGCAAGUCUUAUCAUAAUUAUAACCCUCAUCAAUUUUCAUAUCUCACAUUCGCUAAAGCGCUGUGCAUUACAUCUGUGUCAUUUUUUUACGACACAAACCAACCCACCACCCCCAAUUCUUGCCGAGUAACAUUCGGAUCAAGCGAAGCGAAUAUAAUUAAGAUGCUGAGUCUGAUCCCAUAGUCGGACGUGUCGAUAUGCUCGAGAUGAUUCGGAAAAUAAAAUCAUAUCAUAUAUUUGUUAAAAGAUUUAUCAUAUCGAAGUUUAUUAAGAUAAUAUUUGAUUUUUUUAAUGAAUAAAUAAACGAUGAAAAUGAGAGUCGACAAAUCAUCAAAGUCUUUACCAAUUAAAAUUGACCGACAAAUAUUUGAUGUUGCUGGACAUGAGAUGCAUGCAUGUUCGUUAUAUGAUUGGUAUGAGAUGUUUUCGGAUCUCAUCCCCUACCAAGCAACAUUGCGAUCGCACCGUAAUAUCGAACGUCUUCGAUGCCUGUUUUGUCAUGAGCUGAACAAUGGAGCCGAAGGCACGCAUGCAUGGAUGGAGGGAGCGUUAGUGAGGGCGGCUGUGCCGUCGAUGGUGGGUUGCUUGUUGUCCGCCACCAGGCUAUGUGGUUGAGGUCGACAUGCAUCCGCCCGCUGAAACAGUGGCCGAUGCUUCUUUUAACACCGCGAGAGUGCCUCCGUCACUUCAGCACGCAGUACCAAUGCUGGUGCGGUGUUCACGGUUGGACCAUUUGCAGUGGCUCCGCCGUCCCUCGGUGGGGUUUCGCCCCUCUCGACUCUGUCUCCGAUGCGUCUCUUUUUUAGACGAACCACGCACGGUUCUCCGCUCCGGCCCCCCUCCCCCCCCCCUUCCGAAUCGUCCGCGUCGCGUGACUGGAAUCCCUCAUCCGUCGUACCUCUGAUGGCGUGGAUCUACAGGAACAGGUAGCAUCAGCUGUGAGGACCAUCGGCUGGAGCUCUCUCUCUCUCUCUCAUGUCAGUAAUCUUGGUGUCGUUCAGAAACAAGUACGACGAGGAGGAUGUGGCUGCCUCGGACGGGGAAUUACAUCACAUCUUCCGGUUCUUCUUGCAUUGGGCAAUCCACGACACCCGACAGCUAUUUAGAAGCUUGCGGAGCAAUGGAUGAUGUCGAUCGAAGUCUGAUAGGUUGCACACUUCAGUCCUGAGAGCAAUAGCAGCAUUUAAUGUGCUUGGGCGGGCGUGGUCAUGGACGGAUGACCACUGGAAAGGCCCCUCGCAUAAGCUGGACACAGCAAGGACAGGCAGCGUCGAACGAUGAAGAUGAGGUUGCUCCUCUAAUGGAGGGCCCCAAUGCAGCACGAGCCACACUAAAAAGGGAUGGCUACGAUCCGUUCAAUCAAUCAAUCAAUAAAAAAAAAAAGUGAAUCGAAUAAAAAAAUUAAUUCGAUCAAUUUAAAUUUAUAAAUCGAUUAAUCGAACUGAACCAAUUGAUUUUAAUUUUAAUUUAUUUUACUUUAAUCGGAUCGAUUUCGUGGCAUCCGAACUGCUCGGAACACGCAGCCAUGUUGGAGUGAGCUUUCGCUGGUUCUCUCUGUAAUUGCAGGGAUGAUGAUGGAACUCUCUCGGGAUGCACACGAAAAGUUACCCCUGUCCAGAGAGAGAGAGAGAGAGA
This 14760-nucleotide long non-coding RNA is filed under the name Musa acuminata (dwarf banana). RNAcentral's name for it is "long non-coding RNA (MACU_LNC001525)". The record is from RNAcentral. Lineage: Eukaryota; Viridiplantae; Streptophyta; Magnoliopsida; Zingiberales; Musaceae.